UGAUAGCUGUGAAGCGCGAGGUUGCUGCCCAAUAUGAGGCGGGUUUUCCGUGGAGCGAAUGUCAAGUUAG
RNAcentral lists this non-coding RNA (70 nucleotides) under human gut metagenome. RNAcentral's name for it is "S10-Clostridia ribosomal protein leader". It matches the Rfam family "S10-Clostridia ribosomal protein leader", at positions 1 to 67 of the family's 81-position model. The record is from RNAcentral.